AGCUAAAAGAAACCAAAAUAUUUUUAGUAAAGCCUGCCCAGUGAUUUUAUUUAACGGCCGCAGUACCUUGACUGUGCUAAGGUAGCAUAAUAAAUUGGCUUUUAAUUAAAGUCUGGAAUGAAUGGCAUUUUAAAAUUUUUCUGUCAUAAUAAAUUAUUUAUUUUAACUUAUUUAUUUGGUGAAAAUACCAAAACUAUUAGUAAAAAGACGAGAAGACCCUAAGAAUUUAAAAUAUUUUUUGUUGGGGCGACAAAAAGACAUAUAAACUCUUUUAUUAUUUUUAGUAUAUAACGCAUAAUAUUAAUUAAAAAUAAAUUACCUUAGGGAUAACAGCAUAAUUAGUUUUUUAACUGUUUAUGACCUCGAUGUUGGACUAGAAAAUUUUUGGGCUAGCUGCUAAAAAAGUUUGUUCUGUUCGAACAAUAAUUUUCU
RNAcentral lists this ribosomal RNA (432 nucleotides) under Pseudancylastrum dorogostajskii. Its description in RNAcentral is "partial 16S large subunit ribosomal RNA". It matches the Rfam family "Bacterial large subunit ribosomal RNA", at positions 1817 to 2597 of the family's 2925-position model. Lineage: Eukaryota; Metazoa; Mollusca; Gastropoda; Acroloxidae. The record is from RNAcentral.